AUCCUUUUUCUCUCUCACAUACACAUAUAGGCAUGCAUACAGACAUUCUCAUUCUCUUUCUCUCUCUCCCCCCACCCCUCCCUUUUCUCACACAGACACAUUCUCUUUGUCUCUCACCCUUGCCCCCUCCUCUGUGUCUCUCACACACAUUCUCUCUCCCUCCUUCCCUCUCUCUCACACACAGAUGCAUACAUACACACGUUUUCAUUCUCUUUCCCUUUCUCUCUCUCCCCUCCUCAUCUCUCUUCCUCUCUCUCUCUCACACACUUUCUCUCUCCCUCCUUCUCUCACACACACAUUCUCUCUCUCCCCCUUUUUCUCACUCAUCUCUCUCUCCUCUGUCAUCUCUCCCCCCAACACACACGCAUUUUCUCUCUCUUUCCUUGGCUUCCUCUCUCUUUCACACACACACAUAUACACACACACGUGCAUAAUCUCAUUCUCAUUCUCUCUCUCCUCCUCUCCUUCUUGCUCACACACACACAUACACACACUUACACACUCUUUCAUUCUCUCUCUCCCUCUACCCUUCCCAUCUCUCCUUCUCUCUUUCUUCCUCACACAUUCUCUCUCGCCCCUCCUCUUUCACACUCACAUUCUCUCUCUCACUUUCUCUCCCUCCCUCUUUCCUCACUCCCUCUUUCACACACACACAUAAUCUCACUCUCAUUCUUUCUCCCCCUCCUUCUCAGUCACACACAUGCACACAGAUACAUACACACAUUCUCACUCUCUCUCUCUCCGCCUUCCCCAACUUUCUUCCUCUCUCUCUCACAAACACACAUCUCCUUUCCGUCUCCCUCCUUCUCUUCCCGUCUCUCUCUGCCUCUCUGUCACACACACAUACACACUUUCUCAUUAUUUCUCUCUCUCACACACACAGAUACAUACAUUCUCAUUCUCUUUCUCUCACACACACACAUUCUCUUUCACACACAAACACACACACACAUUCUCUUUCUCCCUCUCCUUCUCUCUUCCUUCCUCUCAUGCUGGGGGAAUCAAGAUGGCUAUAUUGUGAGCUGCCCUAUAGAGAGGCCCAUGUGGCAUGGCACACCCAAGGAACUGAGACACUCAGUCCAGCCUUUCACAAGAAGCUGCAGCCUCACCAACACCAGGUGAGUGAGCUUAGAAAUGGGUCAUCCAGAUCCAGGCGAGUCCUGAUGACUGCAGCCCCAGCCAACAGCUUGACUAUAAUCUGAUGAGAGGCCUUGAGUGAGGAACACCCAGCCAAACACCUCUCAGACUCCUGAUCCACAGAAACAAUGAGGUAAUAAACAUUCGUUGCUUAAAGCUGUUAAUUUAGGGGUAAUUUGUCACAUAGUAAAUUAUAACCAGAACACCUUGCCAGCCCUUAAUUAUUUAUCAUUUAUUUAUAUUUUUGCUAAUCUAAUGUGAGUACUACCAAUGUUGACAUCUGUAUUUGUGUCAGUAUGUGUGUGUAAAUUGCUUCAAAUCCUUUGCUUAUUUUUCUAUUAACCUGUCUAUCCUUUCUUGUUGUUUUGUAGGAUUCUAAUGUAUUUAAGAUUAAUGCUUUAUUUUUCAUACAUGGUGCAAAUAUUUUUUUCCAUCUGUUUAACCAAACAUAAUUUAUAAUUCAUGUGCAGUUGAGUUUGCUGAUUAUGUCUCUUGUCAUGUUUAGAUUUGUAUUAUUAUUAGAAAAGCAUUACAGUUCCAAGAUACGUAAUAUUUUCAUGUAUUUUCUUCCAAAAUUUCAGAGACUUGUUCAGUAUUUAGCUUCUUAACCUGCCCAUAGUACAUUAUUUCUAGUGAGGUUAUACAGAGAGCUAAAUAAAACUUUCCAGAUUGAUAAUCAGUUGUCAAAAUAUCAAUGUGAUAUAGUCCAUCCAUUUUUAUAAGUUGAAUCAUUAUAAAAACAUGAAUAUUUCUGAACUCUAUAUUAUGUACCAUCAAUUUUCUUACUGUUUCCUGCAAUAACCACACUGUUUAAAUUGCUAUAAUUCUGUAAUAUGUUUUGAUAAUUGGUGGGAUUAGUUUCUCACUGGUCUUCCUUUCAAAUGUUGUCUUAGUGUUUUGCGAAUAUUUUUUCCAUAAUGAAUUUAAAGUAAUCCUAUACAUUCCUUAGAAAUUAUAUUUAGAGUUUAAUUUUCAGAUAAAUUUUAACAUAUAGAAUAAUUUUGGGGAGAGUUUACCUCUUUCAAAUACUGAAUACUUCUUAACCAAGAACAUAGUAUAACUUUUUCUUUUUUUCAGGGCCUGUGUUAUGACCUUCAAUAGACUUCUAUAUUCUAAAUAGGUUUUACAAGUUUUCUUGUCAGGCCUAACCAUAAGUAUUUAAUGAGUUUUGUGGCUGUUCUAAAUGGACUCAUUUUUCUAUUACAUUUUAAAUUCAUCAUUGCUGGUGUAUAAGAAAGCUAUUAAUUUUUUAAUAUUGAUUUAUUUUAAUCUGGCUACUUUCCUGGACUCUUACUAGUUCUUACAGUUUUUUAUUGAUUCUUGCUGAUUUUUUUCUUUUGGUGGACAAUAACUUUAUCUUUGUCAUGUGUGUAUAUAUAUGUGCUUGUAUAUGUGUCUAUAUAUAUAUGUGUGUAUGUGUAUAUACACACACAUACACACAUUUUGCUUUUAUUUUAUUGCAUGGAAUAGCAUCUUCAGCAAACAUCAAUAUUGACGUGGUAGCUGGGAACCUUUUCUUAUUUCUGAUUUACUGCAGAUUAUCUUCGUAUUAGCUUUCCUGCUACCACUAUAACAUAUUACCACAAACUUUGUAACUUAACCCACCACAACUGUAUUUCCUUACAGUUCUGGAGGUCUGAAUUCAGAAUGUGAUGUACAGGGCUAUAAUCAAAGUGUCUGCAGGGCUGGUUCCUUCUGAGGGGAACAUGCUCUCCCUUCUGCAAGGGAGGAUCUGUUCCUUGUCUCUAUCAGCUGCUAUAAGCCACCUGCAUUCCUUGGGUCAACGCUUCUUCUUCAUAACGCUCCAACCUCUUGCUUGCUUCCAUCAUCACAUUGCCUUCACCUCUGUCUAAAUUCCUAUCACCCAGAUAAUUCAGAAUAAUCUCUCAGUCUCAAGGUUCUUAACUUAAUCACAUCUGCAAACCCUCUUUUAACACGUAAAGUAACACAUUCACAAGUUCCGGGAAUUAAGACAUUUUUGCGGGGAGGGGACAUUGUUAAACCUACCACGCUUAAAAUAUUUCACUAUUAUUUAUGAAGUUUUCUUAAGGCUUCUGGUAGAUUUUUUUAAGUCACUUUCAAGAGUAUAUUUCUAUAACUCGCUUACUAAGAGCUUCUUUCUUCUGAGUCAGUAACAAAUAUUGUAAUGAAUCAAAUCAUUUAUUCAUCCAUAUUGAGAUGUUUAUUCACUGUUCUCUUUUGUUAAUGUACUAAUUAAAUUAAUGCACAUGUUUCAUAAUUUGAAAUACUUUUGCACUCCCAGUAUACACCUUUUGGGCAUAAUGUAUUAAUAUUAGUCUGCUAACACAUUCCUGAAAUUAAUUUGUGAAUAGUUCAUUUAUAAUUUUCAUAUCUGUAUUCACAAGUUUUCUUUUCUGUGCUUUUUUUGUUAAAUCUUGAUAUCAGUGUUAUAUUACUCCCAUAAAAUUAUUUUAAAAAAAUUCUAUUUCUUUAUGUCAGUCGAAAAACAUUACAUAACAAAGAAGUUAUCUCUAUAAAGGUACAGUUAGCCUCACCCAUAAAACAUCCUGCACCUGAUUUCCCUUUAUCGUGGGCAAUAAGCUCUCAAUAUUUCCCCUGACAUUAUCAAUAUUUCUGCUAUUCCUUAGGUGAACUUUUGUCAUUUGUGUCACUAGCAAAUAAUUCUUACUAAGAUGCUUAAUUUAUAACAUAAACCGUACUUAUGUUUGAUAUGGUUUGGCUCUGUGUCAUCACCCAAAUCUCAUGUUGAAUUUAAUUCCCAGUGUUGGGGGAAGGACCUGGUGGGAGGUGGUGGUUACAUCACGGGAGCAGAUUUCCCCCUUGCUGUUCUCGUGAUAGUGGGUUCUCAUGAGAUCUGAUUGUUUAGAAGUGUGUAGCUCUUUCCCCUUUGCUCUCUCUCUCCUGUUUCAGCAUGGUAAGAUGUGCCUGUGUCUCCUUUGCCGUCCACCAUGAUUGUAACUUUCCUGAGGCCUCCCCAGCCAUGCUUCCUGUACAGCCUGCAGAACUGAUGGAACACCAGGCUAUAGUUUCAGGAAGCCAGACUUGACCCAGACUUGACCUUGCAAAAAAUAGCAACCCCUUCAGAACUGGUAAAGCAAUGAGAAAGAAUUGCUCAGAACUUCAUGGAGCUGAGCCAUUCACCCAUCCUGGAACAUCCACCUUCCUCUGGAAUUAUUUUUUUAAUGUUUUCUUCCUUCUUGUUUAAUCCACUAAUUCUCUCUCUUUUCCUCUGUUUCUCUCUCUCUCAUCUCUGUUCCUUUCCAUAGCAACAUAGACUAUAUAUGAGUAAAUAUUUGAAUAUAUUUAAUAAUAAAAGUACAUACACAAAUAUUUACAGAACUGCUCAAUCAGAAAAAAUACACUUAAUAAAUAAUUGUUCACCAAUGGCCUUGAUGUGCUGUAAUUUGUAUUUCCACCAAAUGAGUCCCAGUUACCUUUUAUGUGUAUUUUCCAUGCUUGUUCACCUAUUUGACUUUAUACUAAAAUUAUAUUAAAUUUCUCUCUAAUGUUUU
This 4631-nucleotide long non-coding RNA is filed under the name Homo sapiens (human). RNAcentral describes it as "non-protein coding lnc-DUSP26-3:2". The record is from RNAcentral. Lineage: Eukaryota; Metazoa; Chordata; Mammalia; Primates; Hominidae.